RNAcentral lists this non-coding RNA (26 nucleotides) under Rattus norvegicus (Norway rat). The record is from RNAcentral. Lineage: Eukaryota; Metazoa; Chordata; Mammalia; Rodentia; Muridae.
CUUUUUUUGUUUCAUGGUUGGAAUUG